Molecule: non-coding RNA, 46 nt
Organism: Schistosoma rodhaini
Lineage: Eukaryota; Metazoa; Platyhelminthes; Trematoda; Strigeidida; Schistosomatidae
Source: Rfam
GUACUGCUGAAGAGUUCAAUAAUAGGACGAAACGAUCAUCCAGUGC